Molecule: long non-coding RNA, 94 nt
Organism: Sapajus apella (tufted capuchin)
Lineage: Eukaryota; Metazoa; Chordata; Mammalia; Primates; Cebidae
Exons: 3
Source: RefSeq, a predicted model, not a curated record
GACAGAGCAAGAGAGACAGAGACAGAGAGUGAGUGAGUGAGUGUGUGUGUGUGUGUGUGUGUGUGUGUGCGUUUGAAUUUAAUAAGGUAUAUAC